CCAAUAGCGUAUAUUAAAGUUGUUGCAGUUAAAAAGCUCGUAGUUGAAUUUCGGGAUCAAUAUGUCGGUCGUGCCUUCGGUACGUACUGGUAUCAUUGGUUUCUCCCUUCUGACGAACCAUGAUGUCAUUAAUUUGGUGUUAUGGGGAGUUAGGACUGUUACUUUGAAAAAAUUAGAGUGUUUAAAGCAGGCUUUAGCUUGAAUACAUUAGCAUGGAAUAAUGAAAUAGGACGUUCGAACCUAUUUUGUUGGUUUCUAGGAUCAACGUAAUGAUUAAUAGGGAUAGUUGGGGGCAUUAGUAUUCAAUUGUCAGAGGUGAAAUUCUUGGAUUUAUUGAAGACUAACUACUGCGAAAGCAUUUGCCAAGGAUGUUUUCAUUAAUCAAGAACGAAAGUUAGGGGAUCGAAGACGAUCAGAUACCGUCGUAGUCUUAACCAUAAACUAUGCCGACUAGGGAUCGGAUGAUGUUAAUUUUUUAAUGACUCAUUCGGCGCCUUACG
This 500-nucleotide ribosomal RNA is filed under the name uncultured Glomeromycotina. RNAcentral describes it as "partial small subunit ribosomal RNA". It matches the Rfam family "Eukaryotic small subunit ribosomal RNA", at positions 591 to 1092 of the family's 1831-position model. The record is from RNAcentral. Lineage: Eukaryota; Fungi; Glomeromycota.